This is a long non-coding RNA of Alligator mississippiensis (American alligator), 8555 nucleotides long. RefSeq lists it as uncharacterized. The transcript has 4 exons. The record is from RefSeq and is a predicted model, not a curated record. Lineage: Eukaryota; Metazoa; Chordata; Crocodylia; Alligatoridae.
AGGUCAAUGGAAAGAAUCCUACUGAAGUCUGUGGGCUUUGAAUUGGACCCCUGAUGGCGAUAAUUUAGUCCAAGAAACAGAACUUGGUUAGAUACAAUGGCUAAAGGUCCUGAUCGCUGUCAAGCAUUCUUAUCACAGCUUCUUCCAUCUAAAGAUCUCAAUGCACUUUCCAAGAAAUAACUCAUUGUAAGGGGUUCUCAUCUGGCUACCUGGAGAUCCCUGAUGUCUGGAGCAGAGGCUGAGCCCAUCGUGGGCUGGGGAGGAAGGCUGCUCUCUUUGAGGGGUGCAGGGGCCUUGUUCCAUUCAACUAGCAGCUACUUCUCCCUCACCUUUUCUAUUUCUGAGCCUCUGGAUGAGGCUGUUCCCUGCUCUAAGGGAGGUGCAGAGCUUAACUAACAGAUGAGAGAGCAAAGAAGUGACAGAGAGAGCUGGGAGAUGUCCUCAGCCCUACUCUGGUAUCCUCUUCUCCAGUCCCUCUCUCCUGGAUGGGCUGGGCUGGGUGGACUCAGAAGACAGCUGACACGAACAGGGAUAUACAGUACAGAAGGAGUGGGGAGAUGACAUCCCCCUUUACCAGACCUCUGGCACCAUCAGGGGUUCUGUGCUGCCUCUGGGGUUACUGGGGAAGACCUCAGCCAGGUGGAGAGGCAGAGGCAGAUCAGGUGAGGUAGGGCCCUCUCCAUGCUGGUCCAGUGUGGGCUGUGUGAUGAGCACUGAAUGCUGAUGGGAUAGGACAGCCUGAGAGUUCAUGCUCCAUGGGCUGCUGAGUUGAUACUGUACUUCUGUGCCCCAUUCCCUGUUCACCUUGACCCUCCCAAUGGCACUGACAGGCCCAGGGGGCCCUCCAGCUGCACAUCACCGUCCUACUGAGUAACUCCCUGUGACUGAUUAGCCUCUUACUGCUGCUGUAAGAGGCUAAGACACUUGCUGGCUUCCCAGCCCCUGAAGGGGGAAAAGGGAACUCCUUCCCUGCCCCCCCACAACACUGCAGCAAGGUACUGGGACAGGGGAAAGAUUCCCCACACCACCCAACUUUCCUCUAAGGAUUGGGCAGUGAGGAAGGAGUGCUUGAAGCCCACAUGUGGGAGCUCUGUGAGUCACCCACUGAUAGACACUCGGUGGGUAAGCUCAGCCACAUUGACAUCCCUGGGCUUGUCUGGCCAUUUCUAAUGGUCUCAUCAACGUGUCAGAAACGGAGACAGCUCCUGAAAGCAACAGGAUAACAAUGGGAUACACACAGAAAGGCAUGCAUGCCUGCAUAUAUGCGUGCAUGCACACAUGCAUGCACCCUCCCUCCUUACUUCCCUCCCUCUCUCCCCAGACAUGCACCAGCAUAGGAACUUAUAUUCACUGCAGAACCUAGGCCCAACACGCCAACAGAAUGGGCUGCAACUGAAGUGCACUGCAGCACUUUCUGAGGUGACAUCACCAAUAGCCAUCACCCAUUAAGGUCAAGCCAAGUAAGCCCAAGCAGGUCAGUAAAACACCUGAAGAGUCUCAGCUUGAAAGUUCAAGGAACUCUGCUUUCCCACCCAUUUCAGCUUUCAGCACAAGCGUUCAAGGAGGCAGCCAGCACUGAAGUCCUUGGUGUUCAAAACCUGAGUUUCCCACAGCCCUAGCAGCCAGAAAUGACAAGGUCCUGGGUGGUCCUGGUGAUGUUUUCCUGGUGAGAGAGGAGUGUCCUCUCCAGCCUUCUCUGCAGUGUUCUCUCCAGCACCACAGAGGAAAGUGUGGCUGAUUUCCAGGGGCAGGAGUGCUGACAGCCCCCCAUAUCCCUUAUGCUUUAAAAUACAAGCUCCUUUUUCCCAAAAUAUUUAAUGCAUCUUAGCCCCAUUUUCUAGCUGGCCUGCUUGAUUCACCCCAGCACACUCAGCCCCCACCCCAUUGCUAUCCAUAGACCUUCAGUGGGGCUGGGUUCAUGCAUGCAGUAUUGAGGGGCUGGUAUAAAGGUGGCCACUGCCAGCCAAGGUGGAGGGGCUGCUUCUGAAAACAGAUCUCUUGGUACAGAGUCAGUGCCAGAGAUAUGAGAAUCCACUCAAUGGAAUGAACAGGCACCCACUUACACAGACGAUGGGCACAGCUUUCCCAGCAAUGUGCAGUGAGCCUGUGGGUGUCCUUGCUGCAGAAUACAGUCAAAGCAAAUGGCUCAGCAGAAAUCAAAAGGCUCAGACAUUGCAAUGGAUGAGGAUGGCAUGCACCUGUCUACAUAUCAGCCCCCUCCCCACUAUACCUGCAAUUAUACUGGAAUAAAUGCACUGGGUCAAUAGAAUCAUGGAGAAUGAGGGCUGGAAGGGACCUCCAGAGGUCCAAUCCCCUGCCUGAGGCAGGAUCAUCCCUAUCCAGACCAUCCUAUGCAAUCCAUUAUCUAAACUCUUCAUAAAACUACCAUCAACCCUGACACAACACAGACAUAAUACCCACACCUGCCACCUGCUUCUAUAAAAGGUUGUUAAGAUAUUCUCAAGAGAUCCCAGGUAGAGGGCCAUGCCCUCCACUGUAGAGGUUGCAAGAGAUCCAACAGUCCAUACCAGAGCUCAUCCUGGGAUGAGGAGGAAGACUGCUCUCUCUGAGGAGUGCAGUGGCCUCAUUUCACUACACCAAGCCACCUCCCUCACCUUCUCCAUCUCUGAGCCCCUGUCUGGAUCAGGCUGGCCCCUGCCCCAAGAGAGAAGCCAACACCCAAUGCCUCCAAGGAAGGCUUAAAAACACCCCAACACAUGUAGCAGCAAAAGUGUGGGGGAGGAAAGGGCAACCAACAAAUCCCAGAAGCAUGGGAAAGAUCCAUAGUAGAUCAUGGACAUAAUUACACCUAGAUCAUCCCUGACCAGUGGCUGUCCAACCUUUUGAACACCUCCAAUGAUGCAGAGUUCACAACUUCCCUAGGCAGUCUGUUCCACUGUUCUAACAGUGAAGCUUUUCCUGAUAUCAGGAAUUGGUGACAUACACUGACAUAUAGAAGGAAUCUCCCUGUAACACAACUGGACAAUGAUAUGUCUUUGGGGCCUUUCCACUACUUCUGGUGGCAGGAUGCCAGCCUUGUAAGGCCAUCCCUUUGACCUGGUGUAGGACCCAGUGGAUUAAUUGCUAGUCAGGUCUCCUCUGUGCUAGGUGCUGUACUGAUGCAGGGCAAGAGAGCUGCCAUCUUGAGGAGUGGACUCUCUGCAGCAGUGGUGAGCCAGUGCAACAUGAGCUGGGAAACCAGACUAGACAGACUCUUGAUUUGCUUUGCUAUCUAUGGUAGGGGUAAGGACUAAGUGGCUCCUGGCUUUGCUUAGUCCAGGGAGAGCAAGAGGAGAGCUAGCAGGCUGGAGGGGUCUUCCUGGUAAGAGGGAAUAGGCAGGGUCUGUUCCAGGCUGAUUAAUCCUACCUUUCUGAUAAGACACAGCCAGAAAAUGACAAACCUAAAGCACUAAAGGGGCCAGCCUGAAAGCAGGAAACAGCAGAGAGACCUGUCAGUGCUGCAGCAGAGCACACUGGCAGCCUCUUAAUUAUUGAUGGUGUUUCUAAAUAAAUGCAGGGAUGGAGAAGAGAAGGUUAUGGUGGAGAGUGAGGAGCUUCCAGACGAGGGAGGGAACCCAAGAACGCGACUGUUUCAAAGGUCAGUCGUUUUCUGCAUCUUUUUCCUCGUGUCUCUGUAAAACUCAGUGAUAUUUGAGCUGAUGGAUUGUCUUCCUGGUGCAUCUUCCUCUUAGACCUGCCUGAGUUACUGGAGGAGGGUGAGGCAUGGUGCGGUGGGGGGAAGGGAGAAGGAGGGAAGGGUUCCUGAAAUGCAGGAUAAACAGCAGUGGCAGAUUGAGAUUUAUUGGGGCCCUGGGCAAACAGAACAUUGGAGGCCCCCCAUCCUUCAUUAUAAACAUGAAUGUAUCAAAAAGCAUUAAUAAAUAGACCCAUUAAAUGUUUACACAGUGCAUUAAUAAAUAAAGGACAACAUGCAAUGUCAAAAUUAACUACUCAGAUUUGGCACACACAAAACUAAAUAAAACAACUGCCUUAGGAAAAUGACUAAGAUGCAUGGGAUUGCCAUAAACAUAUAAUAACACGAGAGGAAAAAUGUUUUAGUUUAGUGGUCAUGUAGACUCUUGUUUAACUAUUUUUAAUAGAUAUUUUACAUUGUACCUACAUUACAGUAAACUACUACAAGAAAAAUACAGACCAUACCUACCUUGAGUACGAGUCUAAGAAUACCGUUAGUGAUUCUUGCAAUUAAAAUAAAGCAGAAGGCCUACACAAUACGUCUUGAAUUUUUUUUAAUCUUUCCUGAAACAUUACAUUUGUGCUAAACUUCCUAUACUGUAAAGCUCUCUUUUAUAUAGCCAUUACACUUGUGUUUUAAUGCCACCAUCAAAUAAUUAUGUAACCAAAAUGUAUAGAUAUAUUGAUAUAUACAUACAUAUAUACACACACGAUGUCUCUCUUUCUCUCUAUACCUGUAUUUCUCUCUAUAUAGAUAUCUAUAUAGAUGUAUACAUACACACACACAUAUACACAAUCUUUCUCUCUAUAUAUAAUGUAUCUCUUUAGGCAGACAGAUAGACAGAGCUGUAUCUAAUCAACCCCUGGAAGAGCUCACACUUCCCCAAACAAGCUGCCAUCACUCGGGAGAGAUGCAGACACCUCUAUCAGCAGCCUUAUUUGGGGUCAAGAACUUCAGGAAGCAUCUCGGGGGCAGUGGGAUUCCCUUUCUCUGUGCCCCAAAGCAGCCCUUGGCAGCAGGACUAAAGAACUGCGUGCUGCCCUGCAGGGGGAUCUGGUGUGGUGUGAGGUCAGUUUGGGGUUGCAUCCCCCACAACACACUCCCCCGCAGACACUUGCAUACAGACAGACACUCUGCACCCACCCUCAGCGGCACGGCAGCCUGUCGUGAGCCAUCUGCCUGCCCUGUGACCUGACUAUUGGGAGGGAGGGAGGGCAGGAGCAGGCUCCUUCCAGGCACAGGGAUGAGAGAGAGACAGAUCAGGUGGGCAGUAAGCAGCAGGGUUGGCAGGGAUCCUCGCUGCCACCUCACCCUGACCAUCCCCAUGGAGCAGUCAGACAAGUUCCAGUACUUCACAGGACUUUCCCCUGCAGGAUGGGGAGCACAGCAGGUCCCUGCUCCAUUCCCCAGGGAGCCUCUGAUUGGCAGGGGCCUCGGAGCCCGGGCUCAAGGGCCAGUGCAUUAAUCCAUCCCUGCAACAGCAAAGCAAAGAGAUGACAAAAUGAGUGGAGCAGCAAAUUCCAAACCAUAAAGAACUCAUCUGUGCCUAUGUGAAAAUAUGGCUUGUGCAAUCUCUGAUGGGCCCCCUCUUCCUGAGCAGUGUAUGGUACUCAAAGAGGGGAGCUUCUGCAGAAAGGCAGGGGAGAGAUAGAUGAGAUCAAGGGAGCGCUCAGGCGGGGGUGGACUGUAUGGUGAACUGGGAAUUUUUGUCAGGGCCUUGAAAUAAAUCAAAUCAUAAAGAGAAGCCUGGUUAAGUAUCUUCUAUUUCCCUAGUAUCUUAUAUCCUGGAGUCCCACAAAGCAUUGACAACAAUCAUUUUAUGGUGAAAUGCAGCUGCCUCUGGGGAGAGACAUGGCACUCAUUUCCAAAAUCAUAAUGGCAACAGUUUGUAUGAAGGCAGAUUCCAGCUCCAGCUGGCUAUGCAGGGCAAAUUUCCAGCCACUUGGGAUUUGGGCAGGGAACUGAGGUGACUGUCUCCUCUUGAUAACAGUACCAGGGGAUAUUUAAUGGCCACCCGAGGUUGGGAUGUCAUUUCAGUAUAUCCUCCCAAAGCUCUCCAGCAGCAGAGUCCCCCAGCACUGAGGCACUGCAUUCAGCACUGACUCAAGCGGGCUGGUUCUCCUUAUUGAAUUGGCCAUAGUGUCCCCCUUUGCUCCCACAGAGCACUGGGGUCACCACAGGCUCAGGGGGGAGGGCUCCUUCAUAUGGAAGCAUCAGCGGCCUGUUCAUGUGGGGCGACUAUGGCUCAUGUCCUUGCAGAGCUGAGCUCUGCUGAGAGCUCUGAGUGCUCAAGUUGUAGAGAUCCAGGACAUUUGCCUCUACAGAAAACAUCCCAAAGGUGGAGCCUGUCACGCUUAACAAGCACGUGGAACUGAACUAAGCAGGCCUCUUUUGCUGCUCCUAACCCUAGGGGGCCCUCGCAACUCAGAUGAGUCUCCUGCUGUUUCGUGUAGCACUUAGCUUUAGUGCUAGAGAGAUGGCUGUUUCGCAGGCGAGACUGCACAGCAUCCACUUUCCUUCUCCCAGCCAGAGAGAGACUUCUGCCCUGCAUCUGACUGCCCCCCUGGGCCCAUGGAGAAGGAGGCAGGCCCCCCCGUGCUAAGUCUCUGCUAACAACACAAAAGAUGGCACAUGCUGCACACUCAACCCGAAGAGUCACAAACAAAUUGCCUGCCCAAGAAGUACCUGCGACUCCCGUGGGGACCAGUGUAGGAGCAAAGGCACACGGUAUGCCUGCUUCAGUCACACAAUCUCUCUUUUUCUAUGCACAGCUCCUUUCCUUGCCAGCACAAACCUGGGGGCAGAAGCUGAAUGACAUGUUCACAAGACCCCAACAAAUCUGUUGGCUGCAGAUAGGAGAGACCAUAGCUUCCACACAUGCUGAGUGAGGAAGAACUAGACCCCUUCUCCUGCGGCACAGGCCUUUCUACCUCUUCAGCUGUGGGAGAGUGGUAGCAUGAGCAGUAGUAGCUCCCUUAAACUCCCUGAGGGCUCAGGCACCUGAGGGCACAGUGCUAGGUACAAAAGCCACCAGGUUCCUUUGAAAACUCAUCUCUUGAGCUCCUUCUUGGGACUUUUCAUGCUAUAAUAAAGAUGGGCUCAUGGCAGGGGCCUUUACCCAAGGUCAGGGAGUCUCUGAGACUGGGGUUCAGGCCCUUCUUAGAAAGUGGAGGGAGAGUGGAUUUACCCUGCAUGGUCAGGGAACAAGGGGAGCUCACGUUACAGCCAAGCAAACUGCCCCGCUCAGCAGAAGGCCCAAAACUGCCAGCUGUAAUUGGAGCUCAGGCAGGAGCUCAGGGUGGAUGGUAAGGGCCGAUCCCCCUAACCUGGCCAGUUGCUUGGAUGUGAAGGGCACUCUACAAAGACAAGCUGCUGCGAUUCCCUGGGAGCUGUGUGUCCCACUUCCCUGGACACUAGGCUACAGAAGCUUACAUAUAGGCCUGAUCUGGAGAGAUGCUGAGUGCCUGCAGCUCCCAACAAUGUUCACAAGGGUGCCCAGCAUCUCAGAGCUGGGCCCCGAGUUCUGCAGAAAAGGACAAUCCAAUAUUCAAAGGCCCCUGGCCUCACAUCACAGAAUCACAGAGAAGCAGGCCUGAAAGGGACCUGUAUAGGUCAUCUAGUCCAGCCCCCUGCCUGAGGCAGGAUCAUCCCUAACCAAACCAUGUGUGGUCAGUGGGGGCAGCUGGACCAGGGAAUGGUUGUCCAGUGUCCCUCCUGCUCUCACUCUCAGUUUCCCUUUCCCUGCAUGGAUAGUUCACAGUGCUGAGCCAUGACACUUCCUAUCCAGUCUACUACAGCCCUUGGAUUGCCCAUCCUCCCCUUCCCAAGGUGGGACAUAGGCUUGCCCCUGGCUGGCUUGGCCUCGUCUCCCUCUGAGCCAGGCUGGGAACAAGUAGUGUGUUCUCUGACCCACUAGGCCUGGUGCCAGCUGUUUGGCCUGAUGGGGUCUGGUCAAGACGCAGUCAGUGUACUGACUGAACUGAUGGCUCCUGGGGGAGCCGUUCAGUUAGAGCAUAGCCUUAUCAAUGGAGCCUGAUCCAGUCUGCUAAGUGGAUAUAAGGUGCUUUUAAACUGAAGUGGCCAAAUCAGUGCACAUUCUGUAGAAGCCAUUUCUGAGUCAUUCCAGAGCAUGAAGUGCAAGUGACAAAGCCAGGGCUCAGCUGGUGUGUAUGCGAGCACGUGAGCCCACGGGUGGGUGCUCACGCACAUGGAAGAAGCCCUGGGUAUGCAAGUUCAGGUGGGAGUGAAUCCAUGUGUCUAUAUAGGUAUUUAUUAGGACAGUGUGUGCAAGGGCACUAGCAUGUGCAAGGCUGGGUGUACAUGAUUGUGUAAGGCUGGGUGUGUGUGCACUUGAGUUAGGGCAACUGUUCACCUAUAGGUACAUGCCUGUGAGUGGGAAAGUCUUAGUGUGUUUGUGCAUGAGAGUGCGUGUUCCCUGUGUUAGAAUGAGGUCCCGUGGCCACAGGGACCUUAAAUGCACACAGCCUGCCUGCUCUAGUGCCUGGGUGUCUGGAAGUCCCAGUGAUCAUGUCUCUUGUAGUCUCCCUGGACAGAUCUUUUACUUUUGCCACAUCUGCAUUACACUGGCAUGGGACUGCUGGUGUAAUGCAGAUAUUUGAUUGUGUGGGUUGAUGUGUGCAAGAGCAGCUGAGUGAACCCUAUGCAAAUCUCUAUGCACAGGAAACCCCAGCUGUCCUUUUGGGAGCACCAGUGUUUCUCCAUGCUUCUCAGCAACUUCCCAGCACCUGCGCCCAAGCCCCUCUAUACAGGCGAUCACCAGGCAGCCCCUCCCAUCCUGCCACUCUGCUGCUGCUGAGUCUGCGGUGCCAGCCAGCAUGGAGCAGCUUGCUGCAAACCUGGC